GGAGUUCCAGCAGAGCCCUGCCUUCACCUUGUCCACACGGGGAAGCAGACGGGAGAGAGAAAUGUUCCUGUACAGCCAGCAGUCACGUCAUUCCAUAUUCCUGAGUAAUACUAAAAUCAUGAGCCCUGUGAAGCCUCACACACCAUGGAGUAGAGACAAGCUUCUCUAAGUUUCUGGCCCACAGAAACCAUGGGCGUCAUGCAAGAGUUGUGUUACAAUACUGAGUUUGAGGUGGUUUGUUACACGAACAGAUAAGCAGAGAAGGGACAGAGUGUAUGGGUGUGCAGAUGAGAGAAGACCCAGAGGGCGGCAGGCAAGCUCCCCUGUCCCCGUUCCCCAAGAGCACGUAUACUUGUCCCUGCAUUGAGGUGUCGUGUUGGGAGCCAGGGGGGUCGAGAGGGAUGGGAGUGUAUUUGAGAAGAGAAACAUUCUUGGUGAUGAAUUCUGAGCAUGGAGCUUGACUAUCAUUUCAGAAAUGACUAUAAUGUAUGAAAGACAUUGAAACUGGAAGAUACUAGAAUAACUUAACAUUUUAAUCCACCCCCCAGCCAGCAAUCAAAUGGUGCCCUCCAGGUACGACAAGAAUCCAUUUGCAAAAGAGAGAGCGACACUGACAGCCCCAGUCAGCUUGUAGAACCAGGUUGAUGCUGAACACCUGUUCGAUGAUGGAAAGGCUGUUAAUUUCUAGACACUGGAUGUGUGGGAAGCAAGCUGACCGAAGUGUGAAUGCCAUUGGCCGUUUUCAUUAACACUGUACAUUUUUAUUCAUUAAAUCAUAUUGACAAUUAGUGAUUUAUGAUAAAUGAGUUAAAGCUCUGGUGCUUUCUGUAUUCCUGUGAUGUGAUUUGUUUCCUCCAUGUGUCAGGAUCCCAAGCAGGUGUCACACUAUUAAUUUAUCGGCUUUAUGAAGCCCUUCUGAGGUCCAUUUGCACCAACUAGAUCCCUGCUGUCGAGGCACUGGAAGCUCCUUGUCUCUGUGCACUCACAUCCUUCCAGCUAUGAAACGAGCAUGAUGUGAGCAAAGAAAAACUCCAUCAAGCACAAAUCAGCCAAGGAAAUCUGACUUAUUUGAGAACGCAGCAAAUUGACAUCUGGCCCAUGUGGGAGAAAGAUGGAAAAUAACUCAUAAGAAAAAGGAACAAGGCUAUUAUAAAUGGAAGAUGUGACCGGAUGAAGAAGAGAUGUCUUAUCGUGAGUGGUUUUGUGGUUGUCUUCAAGCCAGGAUGACUGUUCAUGUCAACAGGAACUGACAUAGUUGAUAUUUCACCAAGUUUCACCUUACAUCAGGCAGGUGAAAUUAAUAAAGGAUAUUCACAAAGACACAAAGCAAUGCUUUUCAAACAAUGAAGUAUAUGGAGAGAAGAACGGAUGCUCUGGUCACGAACUGUUGCUGUGCCAGGGAGAUGGGCUCGUCUCAGGUGCUGAACCAAAACACCUUUGCACACCAGCAACGCUAUGUCCGAAUAUUUAACAUACUGAGUUUGAAAUGUUCAGGAAAACACCCUGUUCUUCCCAUCGCCACACAGUGCACGUUAACAAGUGAGAGCGAGAGAGAUCACAGAAGGAGAAGCGACCCUCUGCUAGGUGGGGAGCCCAACACAGGCCUGGAUCCCAGGACCCUGAGACGUGGCUUGAGCAGAAGGCAGACGCUUAAAUGCCUGAGCUACUCAGAUGCCCCAGUGGGGAGGACUAUCUUGAGGAUGACAUGAGUUGAUAUACGUAAGGAGCUGUUUUCCGCGGUUCCUCCGAGCGGCCCGCAACCUGCCUUUCCUCCCACCCAACCCUCGGGCUUCGCGCUGCGCGCCCGGUGCUGGUGUCUUGGCGAACCUGACCAUGUGUGCGCGGA
Long non-coding RNA from Ailuropoda melanoleuca (giant panda), 1846 nucleotides. RefSeq lists it as uncharacterized. The record is from RefSeq and is a predicted model, not a curated record. NCBI's taxonomy places the organism in Eukaryota, Metazoa, Chordata, Mammalia, Carnivora, Ursidae. The transcript has 4 exons.